Molecule: unclassified non-coding RNA, 314 nt
Filed under: uncultured fungus
Lineage: Eukaryota; Fungi
Description: partial contains small subunit ribosomal RNA, internal transcribed spacer 1, and 5.8S ribosomal RNA
Rfam family: Eukaryotic small subunit ribosomal RNA (bases 1-73)
Source: RNAcentral
GCAAACUUGGUCAUUUAGAGGAAGUAAAAGUCGUAACAAGGUCUCCGUUGGUGAACCAGCGGAGGGAUCAUUACCGGGUCUCAACGACUACCCGAACCCAAAACAGUGCACUAAACACUUUUUCUGCUGCGGCGGGCCGCUCGCUGGGGGAGCCGCCGGGUCGUAAUGGCCGGUCCGCCGAAGCAACAAAAACCGUCUCCUAGGCAUGACGCUCCGAGACAAGCUCUGAGAGGCACUUGAAGCCUUUGCAAAGGCAUUUAGUUACAACCCACAACAAUGGAUCUCUUGGCUCCGGCAUCGAUGAAGAACGCAGC